This is a long non-coding RNA of Salvia miltiorrhiza (redroot sage), 352 nucleotides long. RefSeq lists it as uncharacterized. Lineage: Eukaryota; Viridiplantae; Streptophyta; Magnoliopsida; Lamiales; Lamiaceae. The transcript is spliced from 3 exons. The record is from RefSeq and is a predicted model, not a curated record.
CAAACCCCUCUCUCCCUCACUACAUUCGACCAUCUCUCUCUCCCCUUCAUCUCUCUACUUUCCACCAUUUUCCUCCAUUGAUGAAACCUUCGAAGCUUCACCCAAGUAUGCCAAACACAUAAAUCACUACUUAAAUCCUCCAUAAACACAUCCUAUUAACUUGAAUUCAAGAGAAUCCUUGAAGGAAGGCUUCAAGACUAGAGAGAGAAAGUUUGAGUUUUGGUGAAGAACUUGAACACGGGCAGAGCAGGGAAGUAAGUAACUCCGCUUUGACGGGAGUUUUUGAGUAAGGUCUUCAGGCUAAGCGAGGAGCGAGAUUGGUCUGGUGCUGGUGGGGAAUUGUUGAAGGAUG